This 468-nucleotide ribosomal RNA is filed under the name uncultured bacterium. Its description in RNAcentral is "partial 16S ribosomal RNA". It matches the Rfam family "Bacterial small subunit ribosomal RNA", at positions 28 to 507 of the family's 1533-position model. The record is from RNAcentral.
GACGAACGCUGGCGGCGUGCUUAACACAUGCAAGUCGAACGGAAAGGCCCUGCUUUUGUGGGGUGCUCGAGUGGCGAACGGGCGAGUAACACGUGAGUAACCUGCCCUUGACUUUGGGAUAACUUCAGGAAACUGGGGCUAAUACCGGAUAGGAGCUCCUGCUGCAUGGUGGGGGUUGGAAAGUUUCGGCGGUUGGGGAUGGACUCGCGGCUUAUCAGCUUGUUGGUGGGGUAGUGGCUUACCAAGGCUUUGACGGGUAGCCGGCCUGAGAGGGUGACCGGCCACAUUGGGACUGAGAUACGGCCCAGACUCCUACGGGAGGCAGCAGUGGGGAAUAUUGCACAAUGGGCGGAAGCCUGAUGCAGCAACGCCGCGUGCGGGAUGACGGCCUUCGGGUUGUAAACCGCUUUCGCCUGUGACGAAGCGUGAGUGACAGUAAUGGGUAAAGAAGCACCGGCUAACUACGUG